Molecule: long non-coding RNA, 481 nt
Organism: Macrobrachium nipponense
Lineage: Eukaryota; Metazoa; Arthropoda; Malacostraca; Decapoda; Palaemonidae
Exons: 3
Source: RefSeq, a predicted model, not a curated record
UUUUCGUCCUUCUAGGAUUGCUAGCGGGUGGUGUUAUGCCAGGCACUCUUUAGACAUUUGGGCAGAAUGGCACGGGGAUGUGACGCCAUGGCUGAUAAAGAGGACCACGAGAACGGGGAGUGUGAAAUCCCGAUGAUCCAGAUCGACAGCAAGGCGAUAGAAGUGGCCAACGAAUCUCUGUUAGUCGAAGAUGACGACGACGCCGCCGUCUUCCUGCAGGAGCUGGGCAUCAACUUCGGCAUCACGGCCAGAUCGAAGGGCAGGGCAUCCGUCUUCCAGAGCGUGGAAGUUUCCCGCGAGGGCUCGGCCGUCUCUUCGGGCAUGUCCUCCGUGAUCUCCCGGCAGAAGUCCUCCAGGACCUUGGUCGACGUCGUCAGUAGGGUCACCCAGGGCGGAGAAGGUCAGCUGUAUCGUCUGCUCUCUGCCAAAAGGAACCACGUGCAGCAGCUCAACAGCGACAUCAUCUUCCUGCAGCGCAGGA